RNAcentral lists this ribosomal RNA (325 nucleotides) under uncultured eukaryote. RNAcentral's name for it is "partial 18S ribosomal RNA". It matches the Rfam family "Eukaryotic small subunit ribosomal RNA", at positions 1470 to 1796 of the family's 1831-position model. The record is from RNAcentral.
CCCUUAGAUGUUCUGGGCCGCACGCGCGCUACACUGAUGCAUUCAACGAGCCUAUCCUUGACCGACAGGUCCGGGUAAUCUUUGAAUCUGCAUCGUGACGGGGAUAGAUUAUUGCAAUUAUUAAUCUUCAACGAGGAAUGCCUAGUAGGCGCAAGUCAUCAGCUUGCGUCGAUUACGUCCCUGCCCUUUGUACACACCGCCCGUCGCUCCUACCGAUUGGGUGUGCUGGUGAAAUGUUAGGAUCGGCCGUUUGCCGCGGUUUCCGCGGCUCGUGGCUGAGAAGUUCAUUAAACCCUCCCACCUAGAGGAAGGAGAAGUCGUAACA